GACGAACGCUGGCGGCGUGCUUAACACAUGCAAGUCGAGCGGUAAGGCCUCUUCGGGGGUACACGAGCGGCGAACGGGUGAGUAACACGUGGGUGACCUGCCCUCAGCUCUGGGAUAAGCCUGGGAAACUGGGUCUAAUACCGGCUAUGACCUUUCCUCGCAUGGGGUUUGGUGGAAAGUUUUUUCGGCUGGGGAUGGGCCCGCGGCCUAUCAGCUUAUUGGUGGGGUGAUGGCCUACCAAGGCGACGACGGGUAGCCGGCCUGAGAGGGCGACCGGCCACACUGGGACUGAGACACGGCCCAGACUCCUACGGGAGGCAGCAGUGGGGAAUAUUGCGCAAUGGGCGGAAGCCGGACGCAGCGACGCCGCGUGGGGGAUGACGGCCUUCGGGUUGUAAACCUCUUUCGACCCCGACGAAUUUGGACGGUAGGGGUAGAAGAAGCACCGGCCAACUACGUG
This 460-nucleotide ribosomal RNA is filed under the name uncultured bacterium. RNAcentral's name for it is "partial 16S ribosomal RNA". It matches the Rfam family "Bacterial small subunit ribosomal RNA", at positions 28 to 507 of the family's 1533-position model. The record is from RNAcentral.